Molecule: unclassified non-coding RNA, 250 nt
Filed under: plant metagenome
Description: partial contains small subunit ribosomal RNA, internal transcribed spacer 1, and 5.8S ribosomal RNA
Rfam family: 5.8S ribosomal RNA (bases 174-250)
Source: RNAcentral
GUAGGUGAACCUGCGGAAGGAUCACUAAAGUAAACGCCCUCCGGGGCUCUCUUUAUUCACACACCCCUGUGCACUUUGGCCACCUGCCGCGCUUCACUGCGUUAGUAGGUGUGUCUUUAUAAUUAUACCCAUAUACACAAGUCAUUGAAUGUAAAAUCGUUAUAAACUAAUAUAACUUUCAACAACGGAUCUCUUGGUUCUCGCAUCGAUGAAGAACGCAGCAUCUGACUGACUCUAGUGGUGGGUAUCU